This is a long non-coding RNA of Mus caroli (Ryukyu mouse), 564 nucleotides long. RefSeq lists it as uncharacterized. NCBI's taxonomy places the organism in Eukaryota, Metazoa, Chordata, Mammalia, Rodentia, Muridae. The record is from RefSeq and is a predicted model, not a curated record.
UAGGACAUCCGAAAUUUACUUGAAGUUGUCUCAAGAAAAUAAAUAUGGAUGAAAAAUAUAAAAACUAUUGGUGAAGGUACUAGUUAGUAGGAGGACAGGCUAUGGAUUUGCAUCACUUGGCUGGCCUGUAAAGAUAUUUGUGGUUUUACUUCCUGAAGUAGACAAACCAGAUGGAUGUUGGGCUGUUUGCCCAAAAUGAAAGAAUAUGAACACGUGGAAGGUUUGAGAAAAGUUGUAAGCAUUCCCAAACAGCUAGAAGCAGAUGAGAGGAAGGUGAUCCUUUUAAGAACAAAGAAGGAAAUAAGGAUGCAAAAUUACAUCCACAUACAGGAACCAUACAAUUGCCAGAAGACAGUAUCUAUCACUUGCCUCAGUAUUUGAAGUGGGCUAAUGGGUGACAUGUCUGUACAAAGGUGUCAGGGAAGAGACCACCAACCGGCCCAUGACAAGGAUGUCAUCAUUGAAUGCACCACAGGAAGAUUUCCUGUGGUUCUGCCAUGUGCCCUCCCUCCCGCCUCCGUCCUCCACCCCUACUCCAAUGCCUUUGACGCUAACUCAAUGUCC